RNAcentral lists this long non-coding RNA (1548 nucleotides) under Mus musculus (house mouse). RNAcentral's name for it is "RIKEN cDNA D830036C21 gene". The record is from RNAcentral. Lineage: Eukaryota; Metazoa; Chordata; Mammalia; Rodentia; Muridae.
CCUCCUGGGUUUCUUCCUCCUGUAUCAAGUACGGUUCUGUUCCCCUCUGCACUCCAGAAGGGAUGGAGAACUGGGGGCUUGGACUAAAAAGGAGCUGGACAGCUGGAGACCCUCAAAGGUUCCGCCUGCGGCGGCGAGGGUGGGGGACCACAGUGACCAGGCCGGCGUCCCCACCCGCCUCUAAACUUAGCCGCGGUGACGGCGAUCGCGGCGGGCCGGGGACACAGGGGGCCCGAGCAGAGAGGGGGGCUGGCUCGCCUCGGCUGUGAGAGCUUCUAUUUAUAGUGCCCGGAGCCCGAAAUAGCGUGGAGCAGAGCGGCCUGGAUGACGCGGGAGCCGCCCGGGGCUGACUCACCCGGCCCGGAGUGGAGGCCCCCGGAUGGGGGGACAGUGGAGCGCACCGGACCCGACCCCCGCGCCUUCACGGACACCUCUUCUACUACUGCACCUCAAUGUGUCCACUGGGACAAUGUGUCCGUGGAUGAAUAGAUACACAGCAAAAGAUGUUUGUAGCAGAGGCACUGCAGUUGGAUUAAGGGAAGAACUUCCACCAAAGAAAUUGGACCAGGUAGGAACACGUGCUUCUCACUAGGAGGAGUACUGAAAUGUUUUAGGCAUGGCGGCGCAGACUCAUUGACCACAGACAGCCAUCGUUCCAUAACGUGUCUUCUGUACUGCCCCACCCCCACCCCCAACCCCUGGAAUGUUCCUCCUGCCUGGAGUGCUUAUCCCUGCCUCCAAAGACUUGAGAACUCAUACGCUUACUUUAGAGCGCUGUCCCUCUGACCUAGUGGCCUGGGAUAAAUGAGCGGUGUCCAGGGCAACACGAGACAGAGCUAAAGAUAAAUUUAAUCUAGCCGAUUAGCAUGGAUUGAAAAGUGAUGGCAAGAAGGAAAAAUGGAUCCAACAGCAGCUUGCUUUCUGUCCCUGCAGCAGGUGCCAUGUGCAGGUGUGGCCCGGGAGCCUCGUUUUAACCCCGGGAGGGGCGCACUGCAAACCAUGGUUAGUGUUGCACUGUGUCGCCUACACCUGGGCCACCUGGUCCUCAGGUCAUGGGGGUCCUAGCAUUGGGGCCUUAGGGAGUCCGGGAGAGGUGUGAUUACCAAAGUACAACCCAAGGCGCCCUCAGCCCCGCCCCCCUUAAGGACACAAUCACGUGUAGACACUAAGCAGACUUUAUUGUGCUUCUUUGCUGAGUUUAUGGAGCCUGCAGGGAAUCACAGCAGACCAGACACAGACAAAAACGUGAGAGAGAAGGGUGAUGGCUCAUUGAAGCCCAAGGAUGGUGUCUUGCAAAGACUUAACAAGUCUAAACUGGAUGUGGAGGCAGGGACUCAGAUGCGAGCCCUCCCCAGGGUCUGAGGCCAGAGGACGAAAGGGUACAGGCCAACUUGGGCUACUCAACAAGACCCUGUCUUCAUAAAGUCAAAUAAUGGCCUUAGAAUAACUCUGUUGGCAGAGCAUUUGCCUCGUCGACAACGUCAUGGAUUCAAUCCCCAUCACUGCAUAAACUGGCCAUGCAGAAAAGGCUGCAUGAAACAGUCUGCC